AAUUUUGGUGGAGGGUUUACAGGUGCCUUGGCUGCAUGGUCAUGGACAAUUUCCUCCUGGGCAAUGCUGCCAAGCUCAGCUCUAAUCCUCUGCCCAGCCCUGGGAGCUGCUACACUUGCACAGGAGGAAAAGAAGCAACCUUUAGAGCAUGUACAAGGGCAGAAUCUGGGCAAUGAGGUGGAAAGAAUGUCAAAGGGAAGGUGGCAUAGGGACAGACCUGGGGAUACCAGAGGGGUCACAUUUGCCUCUGCAGCCAUUAUCCAGCAGGUUGCCCUCAGUGGGAACAUAACAGGGAGAGCUCUUCUCAGGGGCUGCCAGCAUCUCUGUGCCCUCUUGCUGACCUGCAUCUGAAGAAAGUGGGGACCCUGAUCUGAACACCUUGAACUGGAAAUGUGAGCAUGAUCCUGUGUUACCACAACUCUGCACCAUGGGUGAAAGCAUACAUUGUGUCUAGAGGAAAUGCACAUCUAAGCAGGGGGGAAAUAACCAAGAGGGCUGCAGGGUCACCCAGCUCCAGGUCAGGAAUAAGAGCCAUUUAAAGGAAAAACUGUAAAUCCUAACCUAACCCAGACCUUUCUCGGAGACAAAAACUUCACCUGCUUACAUCUGUCUGUAGCCUUUAUCAUAUUCUCUUUUAAUGCUUUUCCUAAUCCUAAGCAAAGCUGAAAAAAUAUGGGAUAUUUGGAAUAGCUGAUCUACCCCCACUGCAGAUCAGGAGGAUAGGAAGAUUAGAGGGGACAUGGAACCUCAUUUUCCAUUUGUUGUACAACAGGAUCCUGAUCUCUUGGGUACCCAGCAGCUCAGUGUGAUGGUGCCUUUGACAGCUAUGAAGAGGGAAGCGGGUGCCAGGGCGCCCUGUGCCCAAGGACUUGGCUCCCUUCUUGCUCUGCUGAAUGCCUUCCCAGAGCAGGCCUGGUCCUGGGAUUAUUGGGGUGGGGUACAGCAGUCCUGGGUUUACACAGUAAGAUAUAGCAGAGUUUAAGCAGGAAAAGCACAAAAAUGCUUCAGGCAGAAUUGCAGCAUGAGACACUGAGACCAUUUUUUGUCUGUCAGCAGCUCACUUGCUCUCAUUCCAGGGGAUAGUUCCUGGGUAAAACUGGCUCCUUAACCCAAUACAACUGCCUUGGGAGGUCAUUGCUUCAGCUCAUCAAGGUGCCCAGCAGAGUGACUAUUGCACUUGCAGAAAUCUCUUGAAGGCUCAGUUAAAUUUGAAGCAACACUGUGUGCUUACAAUGCCUGCAGGAUCAGAAAAAUGGUACAAAAAGCAUCUGAAAUGGUAUUGACCCCAAUUUCUGGCAAAUGUAAGCACCUUCUCCAGCUACAUUCAAUUUGCAGAAGUCUAAUACAGUCUGUGGAACACUUUGAAAUGUAAAGAUAGACCCUAGGGCAGAGCUAUCCUCCACAGGCUGUUUUCCCUGCUAAGCCUGAAAGUUCAGGGUUUGGAGAAUUUAUUUUUAGUAACUCUUAAAAGAUGCCAAGCCACAGAAGGCUAAUUUGAGUUGCAGCUCAGCCUCUGCCCUGCUGUAGGAAAACGAACAUUAAGAGCAAAUUUCUACUGCUCCUCUGACAGAGGAAAGUUACUUGCUGAAAGGUGCCAGUGCUGUAUAUAGACCCCUCCAGGAAGUCAGUCAACAAAACCCAUGAACAACUUGAGGAAGGGACGAGACUAUGACUUCCCAGAGGCACUACAAAACAAGGAGGUGCUCUUCUGUGAGGAGUUAUAUCACUGGACUUGGAGCUGCAACAUGCAUUGCUUGGUUAUCUUCAAGAAAGGAGGAAAAACAGAUUGUCUCACCCACAACAUUUCACACUGAAUAAAUGCAUAAACCCUUCCUCAUAGUUCCACAUUCCCUAGGUAAAGUUUAUCCUACAGAAAGCUCAUCUGCCUCCCAACAUAGCUUUAGCUUGCUAAAUAUGGUGCCAUCAGUUUUUUGGUAUAUUAGAUAUUUUCUCCUGGGGGCCCAGAAUAAAGCCAGGUACUCCAAGGUGUACCAAUAUAAAUUGCCGAGAGAUUGUCUCCCAAUUUUUUCACUCCUUCGGUAUUUUCAUCUUCUUUCACCAGGCUGCAGGUGGCAAAAUUACUGUACUGGUAUGUAUUUUUUUAUUUCUAGUGAAGAGGGGACACAUUUUUUGUAGGGUCUUUCACUUAGCACUUCUCAGUUAAUGCUGCACAACUGUGUGUGCCUUCUAUAAAAGACUGUGUCUAGUUUCCCUGAAAAGAUGGCAAAUUGGGUGGCUAGCCCUCAUUACUUCUUUUUGCUAAAUUUUGCUGAGAAGAUUAAGUCAAAACCAUAUUGCAGCACAAGUAUUUCCUUUCCUCAGCUGAACCUGUCUCAUGCUGCUGUAAUGUUUUUUUUUUAUGUGGUUCUUGGAGCUGCCAUCCUCAUUUGGGCUGUGGGUUGGACUCUACACUAUUCCCUUGCAGGCCAGAUGGCCUCUCUGGUCUCCUCUGGGCUUUUCCCUGUUCCCAUUGGGAUGCCCAAUUCAACCACCCCUCUGCAGGAAUCAGUACUGAAAGAGAAAUCAAACAAUGGCCACGGCAGCAGGGCUAUGAAAAGGCAGAGCUGAAGAGUUUGCCCAGUUCUGCUGUGAUGGAGCAGGGGCCAGGUUUUGUUAACCAGGAGCUCACAGCUGCUCUUGGGCACCAUAACCCAACGCUGGGCCAGUGGCUCCCUGGGUGCUACUGAGUGUAUGCUACUAUUUGAUACAGUUUAAAUAUUAAAUUAAAUGGAAAGCUGAUGCUACAGCUCUGUGGAAGGUAAUCCCUUCUACACAAGGUCCUGCUGCGGGACAAGCAGUUUGUGACACAUCUGUGGAUUAAAAUCAAGGCAAACACCAAUGCAUCUUAAUGGAACUGCACUCAGACGAGGUUAGUGUGAGCACACCUAGAAACAAAUGAAGGAAAGCUUCCCCUCAAACCCUGCUAUAGAAGCCCAAAGAGGAGAAAAGGCUGAUUAUCUCCCUAGCUGGGUCAGAACAGCAAGAGAAAAUAAAUGCCUUAGGUAAACAAGAACAGUGAGAUACCGGUGAGUAGGAGACAGAAAAUGAAAGUGUUGUUGGAGGUGUGAGCAAGUCUCAAUGUGCUGUAUUUAAUAAUCCCUUGACAUUUUCAGUAAGAAAGAACAAAUGUUUGUGUACUGUGGCAAGGAGCUCUGGCAGUGAAAUUGUGUUACUUAUACAUUAUGCAAAAAAAUUACAUUA
This is a long non-coding RNA of Parus major (Great Tit), 3201 nucleotides long. RefSeq lists it as uncharacterized. Lineage: Eukaryota; Metazoa; Chordata; Aves; Passeriformes; Paridae. The transcript is spliced from 2 exons. The record is from RefSeq and is a predicted model, not a curated record.